Small nucleolar RNA from Erpetoichthys calabaricus (reedfish), 115 nucleotides. Lineage: Eukaryota; Metazoa; Chordata; Cladistia; Polypteriformes; Polypteridae. The record is from Ensembl.
UGUGAGAAUGAUGAGUUGCACCUUCUGUUGAAGCAGCAGUGCAGUGGCACAGCAGCUUCAAUCAGAUCAGUGUUCUGAUGACAGACCAGUGUGCACAGGGGCCAUCUGACUCAUA